Non-coding RNA from Mycena capillaripes, 104 nucleotides. The record is from the annotation of a GenBank genome assembly. NCBI's taxonomy places the organism in Eukaryota, Fungi, Basidiomycota, Agaricomycetes, Agaricales, Mycenaceae.
GGCGCGAUGGCCGAGUGGUUAAGGCGACAGAUUAGAAUUGGUUGAAGUGUCUUUGUGCCAUCUGUUCCGGUUUCCGGGCGCAGGUUCAAAUCCUGCUCGUGUCG